Molecule: ribosomal RNA, 449 nt
Filed under: uncultured bacterium
Lineage: Bacteria
Description: bacterial SSU rRNA
Rfam family: Bacterial small subunit ribosomal RNA
Source: RNAcentral
UGGGGAAUAUUGCGCAAUGGGGGAAACCCUGACGCAGCGACGCCGCGUGUGGGAUGAAGGUCUUCGGAUUGUAAACCACUGUCGCGAGGGACGAAGCUCUGACGGUACCUCGAAAGGAAGCACCGGCUAACUCUGUGCCAGCAGCCGCGGUAAUACAGAGGGUGCGAGCGUUGUCCGGAAUCACUGGGCGUAAAGGGCGCGUAGGCGGCCCGGUAAGUAGGGGGUGAAAUCUCAUGGCUCAACUGUGAGGCUGCCUUCUAGACUGCCAGGCUUGAGCACAGUAGAGGCGAGUGGAAUUCCCGGUGUAGCGGUGGAAUGCGUAGAGAUCGGGAAGAACAUCGGUGGCGAAGGCGGCUCGCUGGGCUGUUGCUGACGCUGAGGCGCGAAAGCGUGGGGAGCAAACAGGAUUAGAUACCCUCGUAGUCCCUGAGCGGGCUGGCAAGGCGCAU